UGGGAAGUGCUGCUCUAACUGGUCAGCCAUUGAGCUCCAAAGACAGCCCCAGUGCAAGUCGAUGAACUGGCCCCCAGCAGACGGGCAGGGGCUUCAGUCUUGCCCUCCAGGGAGUCUCCCCACACGGCAGCAUCUCUACUGUUUGCAGCUCUCCCCCUCUUGCCCAUGACCCUUUCACUGAGACACUGCAGCCCACCACCAUUCACGGUCAUGAUGUCACACCAGUGCACUCCUCAUGCUCUCCAGAGCCCCUCCACCCAGGGUAACCCACCACAUAGGAGGGAGAGGAGCCCACUUCAUGUGGGAAGAUGUGGAGACAGGAGAAAAGUGCACCCAAGCUGGCAUCUGGCAGAGCCAGGGCUCCAGCAGACAUCUCUCAAGUCCAGGUCUUGAAGAGAGAGCCAUGGUAGGAUGGAUCUUUUCAGAAGCGGUGGGUGGGCCGUUCACAUCCACGUGAAUGGGCCCAAAAGGCAGGAGACCCACACCCCUCCUCCCCUCCCCAGUGGCUGUGGCUUUCCUAGGGACAAUAGGAUGAAUGGGCUUUCAGUGUGGGGACAGCAAAACAUGCACUAGGGCCCAGAGUGGCAGUUCUCUUGGUGUGGAGAGUGCCUGCCACAGGCCUUGGCCAGAGCCCGUGAGGGAGUGGUGUGUGAAAGGCCACCUCCACGUGGGUAAGCGUGAGGACUUGGACUUCUCUGGCACUGAGAUGGGACCUCCUGCCUGUGGGAGUCAUCUGGCCACCACCCUGGGGCCAGUAAAGGUUGGAGCUAGAAGGGUCAUCCUCCCUGACUUGAGCUCUGAGGGCUUUGCCUGCCCAGCCAGAGUGGCAAGGCACAGGGGACCCUCGGGGACGCCCAUGGCCACCCUGGGGAAGACAGGGCUCCUCGCGCGUUCUGCUUUUCAGUAAGGCCCGUGUGUCCUACCAGUGAGCCUCUCACAUGAAAGGGGCUAAAAAUAACACAGGGUACCCCAGCUCCUUCUGCAACAAAACUGUCCACUGGGUGGGCGCUGGACAGUGCUGCCUCAGGAAGGUGAGCGCAGCCCACACUGGCCACACAAGCCACGCCCUGCUGUCUGGGUUUCCGGGUGAUCUCAAACCCUGAGUGCCCUGCGUAGCUACAGGGGUUCCAGUUACUGAAAGGGGCCACCUGGGAAGGAUCCUGCCCUGCUCUUGUCCAUUUACCCAAAAAGCCUAAGGCUGCCAGGCGGCUGAGGGGCCUGUCCUCCAGGUGUGCUCCCUCCCACCUGCUGAAGCUGAGGCGCUGGAGAUGUUGCCUGGCACGUUCUACCCAGGUGACAGGACCCCACUCUGUCCCUGUCUCCAUGCCCUCUUCAAGGGACCCCUUCCAAGUGCCUCAGUGGCCACCCUCCUGAGGGUCCCCCGGCCCUGCCCCCCAGCACAGGCAGGUCCCCCAGCCCCUCUGUCCCAGUUCAGGUGAGUGGGCUGACGUGGUGUGCUCCCCCCAGCACAGGCAGGUCCCCCAGCCCCUCUGUCCCAGUUCAGGUGAGUGGGCUGACGUGGUGUGCUCCCCCCAGCACAGGCAGGUCCCCCAGCCCCUCUGUCCCAGUUCAGGUGAGUGGGCUGACGUGGUGUGCUCUGGUGUCUCCAACUUUGCUCUGGCCCCUUUCUCCCCCUCCCCGACCCUGGCAUGGCAAAUCAUUCGUUCACUGCCAGUGGAUCUGCCACUAGACACUCUGGCAUGGUUUGGGCGUCUCCCUCGCCUUCCUUGGUGAUCUGCAGCCAGCUGCCCUGACUUGGUGACCUGCCUUGUGAUGGUUUUCUCUGUGUUGCUGUUUCAGAAGCCCGGAGAUCAUGAGCACCAUCUCAGGUACACGGAGCACGACGGUCACCUUCACUGUUCGCCCCGGCACCUCCCAGCCCAUCACCCUGCAGAGCCGGCCCCCCGACUAUGAAAGCAGGACCUCAGGAACAAGACGUGCCCCAAGCCCUGUGGUCUCACCAACAGAGAUGAACAAAGAGACCCUGCCCGCCCCCCUGUCUGCUGCCACCGCCUCUCCUUCUCCCGCUCUCUCAGAUGUCUUUAGCCUUCCAAGCCAGCCCCCUUCUGGGGAUCUAUUUGGCUUGAACCCAGCGGGACGCAGUAGGUCGCCAUCCCCCUCGAUACUGCAACAGCCAAUCUCAAAUAAGCCUUUUACAACUAAACCUGUCCACCUGUGGACUAAACCAGAUGUGGCCGAUUGGCUGGAAAGUCUAAACUUAGGUGAACAUAAAGAGGCCUUCAUGGACAAUGAGAUCGAUGGCAGUCACUUACCAAACCUGCAGAAGGAGGACCUCAUCGAUCUUGGGGUAACUCGAGUCGGGCACAGAAUGAACAUAGAAAGGGCUUUGAAACAGCUGCUGGACAGAUAAGGACGGCUGCUCUCCACCUCGCAGACUGCUCUUGUUAUAAGUAGAGAUGGGCUCGUGCUGAAACAUCUGAAUGCCAAGCGAAGUCUGUGAGCAUCAACCCCACUCCAUGGGUUUGUCUCCUGGUACCCAAAGAAAUACUGAGUUGUGUCCACAACAUGGCUGGGUCUUCAGACCCCUGGCUCACCAUGUGGGUGUCUUGGGCAGUUUCUAUCACACAUGGGACAAGGGGAGGGAGUUUUUCUAACAUGGAAAAAGAUUCCCAGCCUGCCGCCCAGCAUGCAGGUGGCCUCGCUUUGCCGGGUCCGAGAGGCUCCCCGUCAAUUUUGCACGGGAUCCUAGCUCUUGUAGGCAGACACCAGUGCACUCUAGAUACCUCCUGAGACCUCCGUCCUCUGCUUUCCGGGCAGCUCUCACCACCCCAGGCCCCGGCAUGAGGCCUUUCCUCAGUCCUGUGGCCUCUCGGAGGACACCUGAUGCUCACCUGCCCCUCUUUCUCCUGCACUUGGCUUGCAGUGAGAUGCUCCCAGAUGCAUUUGUCCAGUGCCCCAUCAUGGGCCUGAAAGGCAGAGAAACUUUUUCCUACACAGAUUCUUUUCCCCAUCUCCUCCUGUGGUUUGCAUCCAUGGCUCUUUGGCCAUGAGGUUCCUGGCAGUGCUGGGAGUUUGGAUGGGAUCGUGCCCAGCUUUGCUUAGCUUUCUUUAUUUCUGCAAAUCUGUUAGCAUAAUUCCAAGGUGGCCAAGCAGAUGUCACAUGGAGUUAGUCAAAGCACAAAGUCACGAUUCCACAAUGGAGGGGAGACCUGGCCAAGGGAGCCAGCCAGCGUGCAGCUGCCCAAGCUCCAGGUCUCCAGGACAAGAGCAGUUGUCUGCCACGAGCACCCAUCCAGGAUGGAGAAUAAGGGCUUCUCUGCCUCUCAGAAUUCUUUUUAAUUGAAGAUGUCUUGAGCUCUGCAAAGAUCAGAGCAGGUGAGCAUCCACUUUGACAUGAAGGACAAGAAGACGCAUGGCUCAUGGCGGGCACAUGCGGCUGCCAGUGAGACAGCGUCUCCUCUGGGAGCUGGGCGGGCACAGCAUCCUCAGUUCUGUGCCCAGCCAAGGGUGAGCAUCUCUGCUGAGACAGUCCUUUUGCUCUCGGAGGCCAGGGAAGAUGGUACUUAGAGGCUUUUCCCCUAUUGCUCUGGGUGUCUAGGAAUCCCACCAGCUUGUCUUAACAGUACAACAGCUUCUUUGAGGACCCAGUGGGUAUGGAGUAUAGACAGAACCCAGGGUUGAGAACAGAAGGUGGGCGGCAGGAUCAGAGUGAAAGCAGAGGCGUGAGGAGAGGAAAGCAGGGAGGUCUCCUGGGCUGCCAGGUCAGCCUCUCUGGCAAGGCUUUCUUGAGCCCCGCCCCUUUCUUUCCCCGGAGUCCCUCCACCCCAUAACAAUACCUCGAAUUUCCAAAAGAGGUCACCAGAUGCACAUGGGCCGCAAAACACACAGUCAGGCUUCCAGCACAUUCUCCCCCAUUUGGAGGAUACUCGAAUGUCAGGUUUUUGGUUUUAUUAUGAUUUCAGAACUAGCUCAGCCCAUCUCUAAUUAUAAAACAUGUUUUUUUUUUCCUUUUUUUCUUGAUUAGGUCUGGAACAGCUCUAGAAUGAACACAUAAAAUUUAGCAAUUUAAAAUCUUUCUUUACUGCAAGUUUAAAUAGUUGUACAGAUAGUUUAUAAGCACAAUAUUUUAAGAAAAAAAAGUGGCUGGUCUACUAGGCAGCCUUUGUGCCACUUCAGUGCUAGAAAGUUAAAGAAAAAAAAAACUUUUGUGAUUUAAUAAUACUAUUUCUGUGGAAUAAUUAUAAAAGUAUGACCUUUUUAAAUCAACCUUAUUUGGAUGCAUCUGAACCAGCAGAGCUGUGUUAUAUUUUCUAUCUUUGCUAGAACUUCGUCAUUGAAGGACAAUUUCUUCAAAGUGGUUACAAUUCAUAAUGCAGCAGUUUCUCCAAAAACAAAAACAAAACACACACCACACACACGCGCUUUUCCAGUCACACACCCCUGAUGUUGGAACCAAGUUUUUGGACCUUCUGGUCCAAAACCUUUUGCAGGUCAAUCUUUGUAUUUGAAAUGAUCCAAUCCAACUUGAAGUCAAUUGAAUAUUAAGGCGCUUUACUUCCGUGUGCUUUCAGUUUUUCCAUCAUGAGAUGAAUGAGCAUUACUCUAGAUAAAUUUCAAGACAGGAUACUACAGGUGGCCUGCUGAGGCUGCCCCAUAUUUUAGAAAAUGUAAAAACGGUGGUUUGGCCAUUAAUUUGUCUUCCAUUUGAUGAUACCGCAAAAUUCCAUGAGUCCAUUCCUUUGGCAUGGCGCUUUCCCUGGGCCUACAGUUGGUAUUACCUCUGUGCUCAGUGCCAGGCAAAACACUAGCUCAAAGGAGAGUCAAGGAAACCGCUGGCAGAUGACAACCAGUCGAAACUCGUGACUUCGGUUUGUUGAACUUUGGCAGCCAGUUGGUGAGGGCCAGAUGUUAUUCCCUUUCUUAAAGAUACUCCAAGCCACAUGCCACUAACCACAAGCAAGCUGGCUGCAAGACUAAAGAGCUGAUAACAUAGUUUAUUUUUACACUGUCUUAUUAUAGAGAAGUAAUAGACCUAUCAGAACCUGCACUGACCAACAAAUAAACACAUGUUGCCAAGAUGAAUCGGUCUCUAUCUCUAUCUGCUUAUUUUGGUACUGAAAGCAAUAGUUCCUCAUUCAAAUCACCACCCACUGUUCUCCCCCUUUGGGACAUGUUAGGACGAGGCCCUAUUCCAUGCUCCUCUUUAAUGGUGGAACAAAUGUUAAACUGCUCAUCUAAAGAUCAUGUUGAUAUUAUUCCAGGUUUUAAGAUCAACUUUUGUUACAUACUGUAAUUUAAAUAAACUGCAUUUACAUGCCUAGUUUCUGUAAUAUUGUGUAUACAAAACCCAAAUCUCUCAAAAUGUAAAUUAUGUAUACCUGCCAAGAUACCUUUUCCAGGGUGUCUGCGCACAUUUUAAGUUAAUUCACAUAAUAUAAAAAUUACUCAAUGUGACUGUUGAUUUGCUGAACUUUACAUAUCACAAAGUGAAUUAUUUGUGAUACUUUAGUUAAUAAAAUGGUAAAUUUUUUUCUCAGUUAUUGAACAAGCAAGCAUUAUCCAGUUGAUCUGGCAAUGACUUUUUGUGUGUGGGCCACAAUAUUGAUUUUCCCAUUAACAAUUUUUUUUUGUUUUUUAAAUACUAAUAUGUUUCACACUAUAGUUUGUGUAACACGUGUUCGCAUUAUCUAUGUUGCUGUUACUUUUGUGCUUUUAUUCUUUUUAGACUUUAUAAAAAAAAAAAAAAAAAAGCUCCUGUAAUUUGCACUUUCUCCCAAUCCUUAAAUCUCUUGUAUGGCAACCAAAAUUACUGUAAAAAAAUAAAUAUACUAUUGCACUAA
Molecule: small RNA, 5801 nt
Filed under: Pan troglodytes (chimpanzee)
Lineage: Eukaryota; Metazoa; Chordata; Mammalia; Primates; Hominidae
Description: retained intron
Source: RNAcentral